This 22-nucleotide non-coding RNA is filed under the name Rattus norvegicus (Norway rat). The record is from RNAcentral. Lineage: Eukaryota; Metazoa; Chordata; Mammalia; Rodentia; Muridae.
CUGUCAAAGCCUCGUAUUUACA